Molecule: ribosomal RNA, 425 nt
Filed under: uncultured bacterium
Lineage: Bacteria
Description: partial 16S ribosomal RNA
Rfam family: Bacterial small subunit ribosomal RNA
Source: RNAcentral
GUGGGGAAUAUUGGACAAUGGGCGCAAGCCUGAUCCAGCCAUGCCGCGUGAGUGAUGAAGGCCUUAGGGUUGUAAAGCUCUUUCGUCAGGGAAGAUAAUGACGGUACCUGAAGAAGAAGCCCCGGCUAACUUCGUGCCAGCAGCCGCGGUAAUACGAAGGGGGCUAGCGUUGCUCGGAAUCACUGGGCGUAAAGCGCACGUAGGCGGCUUUCUAAGUCAGGGGUGAAAUCCUGGAGCUCAACUCCAGAACUGCCUUUGAUACUGGAGAGCUUGAGUUCGGGAGAGGUGAGUGGAACUGCGAGUGUAGAGGUGAAAUUCGUAGAUAUUCGGAAGAACACCAGUGGCGAAGGCGACUCACUGGCCCGUUACUGACGCUGAGGCGCGAAAGCGUGGGGAGCAAACAGGAUUAGAAACCCGUGUAGUCC